This 119-nucleotide ribosomal RNA is filed under the name Helianthus annuus (common sunflower). The record is from RNAcentral. Lineage: Eukaryota; Viridiplantae; Streptophyta; Magnoliopsida; Asterales; Asteraceae.
GGUUGCGAUCAUACCAGCACUAAUGCACCGGAUCCCAUCAGAAUUCCGCAGUUAAGCGUGCUUGGGCGAGAGUAAUACUAGGAUGGGUGACCUCCUGGGAAGUCCUCGUGUUGCAACCC